This 463-nucleotide ribosomal RNA is filed under the name uncultured bacterium. Its description in RNAcentral is "partial 16S ribosomal RNA". It matches the Rfam family "Bacterial small subunit ribosomal RNA", at positions 339 to 795 of the family's 1533-position model. The record is from RNAcentral.
CUACGGGUUGCUCCAGUCGAGGAUUUUUCUCAAUGGGGGCAACCCUGAAGGAGCGACGCCGCGUGGAGGAUGAAGGGCUUCGGCUCGUAAACUCCUGUCACCGACGGACAAGACAUCCGGAUUAAUAAAUCGGAUGUUUGAUGGUAGUCGGAGAGGAAGGGGCGGCAACUCUGUGCCAGCAGCCGCGGUGAUACAGAGGCCCCAAGCGUUGUUCGGAUUUACUGGGCGUAAAGGGUGUGUAGGGGGUCGGGUAAGUUUGACGUGAAAUCCCGUUGCUCAACAACGGAACUGCGUCGAAUACUGCUCGGCUGGAGGUUCGGAGAUGAGGGCGGAAUUCUCGGUGUAGCGGUGAAAUGCGUAGAUAUCGAGAGGAACGCCGAUAGCGAAAGCAGCCCUCAAGACGAAAUCUGACCCUGAAACACGAAGGCCAGGGGAGCAAACGGGAUUAGAUACCCGUGUAGUC